This 443-nucleotide ribosomal RNA is filed under the name uncultured bacterium. RNAcentral describes it as "partial 16S ribosomal RNA". It matches the Rfam family "Bacterial small subunit ribosomal RNA", at positions 338 to 795 of the family's 1533-position model. The record is from RNAcentral.
CCUACGGGUGGCAGCAGUCGGGAAUAUUGGACAAUGGGGGGAACCCUGAUCCAGCGACGCCGCGUGAGUGAAGAAGUAUUUCGGUAUGUAAAGCUCUAUCAGCAGGGAAGAAAGAAAUGACGGUACCUGACUAAGAAGCCCCGGCUAACUACGGGCCAGCAGCCGCGGGAAUACGUAGGGGGCAAGCGUUAUCCGGAUUUACUGGGUGUAAAGGGAGUGUAGACGGGGAUGCAAGUCUGAAGUGAAAGGCGGGGGCCCAACCCCAGGACUGCUUUGGAAACUGUAUGGCUUGAGUGCAGGAGAGGUAAGUGGAAUUCCUAGUGUAGCGGUGAAAUGCGUAGAUAUUAGGAGGAACACCAGUGGCGAAGGCGGCUUACUGGACUGUAACUGACGUUGAGGCUCGAAAGCGUGGGGAGCAAACAGGAUUAGAUACCCCAGUAGUC